GUGUCAGCAGCCGCGGUAAUACAGAGGGUGCGAGCGUUGUUCGGAAUUACUGGGCGUAAAGCGCGCGUAGGCGGUUGUUUAAGUCUUACCGUGAAAUGCCGGGGCUCAACCCCGCGCACGUCGGGGGAUACUGGACGACUGGAGACAAGUAGAGGCGAGCGGAAUUCCGGGUGUAGCGGUGGAAUGCGUAGAGAUCCGGAAGAACACCAGAGGCGAAGGCGGCUCGCUGGGCUUGGUCUGACGCUGAGGCGCGAAAGCGUGGGGAGCGAACAGGAUUAGAAACCCCUGUAGUCC
RNAcentral lists this ribosomal RNA (294 nucleotides) under uncultured bacterium. Its description in RNAcentral is "partial 16S ribosomal RNA". It matches the Rfam family "Bacterial small subunit ribosomal RNA", at positions 505 to 796 of the family's 1533-position model. The record is from RNAcentral.